This 450-nucleotide ribosomal RNA is filed under the name uncultured bacterium. RNAcentral describes it as "partial 16S ribosomal RNA". It matches the Rfam family "Bacterial small subunit ribosomal RNA", at positions 354 to 796 of the family's 1533-position model. The record is from RNAcentral.
GUGGGGAAUAUUGGACAAUGGGCGAAAGCCUGAUCCAGCCAUGCCGCGUGUGUGAAGAAGGUCUUCGGAUUGUAAAGCACUUUAAGUUGGGAGGAAGGGCAUUAACCUAAUACGUUAGUGUUUUGACGUUACCGACAGAAUAAGCACCGGCUAACUUCGUGCCAGCAGCCGCGGUAAUACGAAGGGUGCAAGCGUUAAUCGGAAUUACCGGGCGUAAAGCGCGCGUAGGUGGUUCGUUAAGUUGGAUGUGAAAGCCCCGGGCUCAACCUGGGAACUGCAUCCAAAACUGGCGAGCUAGAGUACGGUAGAGGGUGGUGGAAUUUCCUGUGUAGCGGUGAAAUGCGUAGAUAUAGGAAGGAACACCAGUGGCGAAGGCGACCACCUGGACUGAUACUGACACUGAGGUGCGAAAGCGUGGGGAGCAAACAGGAUUAGAAACCCUGGUAGUCC